This 1345-nucleotide ribosomal RNA is filed under the name uncultured bacterium. RNAcentral describes it as "partial 16S ribosomal RNA". It matches the Rfam family "Bacterial small subunit ribosomal RNA", at positions 28 to 1380 of the family's 1533-position model. The record is from RNAcentral.
GACGAACGCUGGCGGCGUGCUUAACACAUGCAAGUCGAACGGAAAGGCCCUGCUUUUGUGGGGUGCUCGAGCGGCGAACGGGUGAGUAACACGUGAGUAACCUGCCCUUGACUUUGGGAUAACUUCAGGAAACUGGGGCUAAUACCGGAUAGGAGCUCCUGCUGCAUGGUGGGGGUUGGAAAGUUUCGGCGGUUGGGGAUGGACUCGCGGCUUAUCAGCUUGUUGGUGGGGUAGUGGCUUACCAAGGCUUUGACGGGUAGCCGGCCUGAGAGGGUGACCGGCCACAUUGGGACUGAGAUACGGCCCAGACUCCUACGGGAGGCAGCAGUGGGGAAUAUUGCACAAUGGGCGGAAGCCUGAUGCAGCAACGCCGCGUGCGGGAUGACGGCCUUCGGGUUGUAAACCGCUUUCGCCUGUGACGAAGCGUGAGUGACGGUAAUGGGUAAAGAAGCACCGGCUAACUACGUGCCAGCAGCCGCGGUGAUACGUAGGGUGCGAGCGUUGUCCGGAUUUAUUGGGCGUAAAGGGCUCGUAGGUGGUUGAUCGCGUCGGAAGUGUAAUCUUGGGGCUUAACCCUGAGCGUGCUUUCGAUACGGGUUGACUUGAGGAAGGUAGGGGAGAAUGGAAUUCCUGGUGGAGCGGUGGAAUGCGCAGAUAUCAGGAGGAACACCAGUGGCGAAGGCGGUUCUCUGGGCCUUUCCUGACGCUGAGGAGCGAAAGCGUGGGGAGCGAACAGGCUUAGAUACCCUGGUAGUCCACGCUGUAAACGGUGGGUACUAGGUGUGGGGUCCAUUCCACGGGUUCCGUGCCGUAGCUAACGCUUUAAGUACCCCGCCUGGGGAGUACGGCCGCAAGGCUAAAACUCAAAGGAAUUGACGGGGCCCCGCACAAGCGGCGGAGCAUGCGGAUUAAUUCGAUGCAACGCGUAGAACUUUACCUGGGUUUGACAUGGAUCGGGAGUGCUCAGAGAUGGGUGUGCCUCUUUUGGGGUCGGUUCACAGGUGGUGCAUGCCUGUCGUCAGCUCGUGUCGUGAGAUGUUGGGUUAAGUCCCGCAACGAGCGCAACCCUUGUUCACUGUUGCCAGCACGUUAUGGUGGGGACUCAGUGGAGACCGCCGGGGUCAACUCGGAGGAAGGUGGGGAUGACGUCAAGUCAUCAUGCCCCUUAUGUCCAGGGCUUCACGCAUGCUACAAUGGCUGGCACAGAGAGUGGCGAGCCUGUGAGGGUGAGCGAAUCUCGGAAAGCCGGUCUCAGUUCGGAUUAGGGUCUGCAACUCGACCUCAUGAAGUCGGAGUCGCUAGUAAUCGCAGAUCAGCAACGCUGCGGUGAAUACGUUCCCGGGGC